GCGGCCGUGAUGUAGCCUGGCAGCAUAGGAGACUGUGGAUCUUCUCGGGUGAGUUCAAAAUAUCUUCGAACGCAGUGAGAAAAUCUCACCGGUCGCC
RNAcentral lists this transfer RNA (97 nucleotides) under Candidatus Woesearchaeota archaeon. RNAcentral describes it as "tRNA-His". The record is from RNAcentral. Lineage: Archaea; Nanobdellati; Candidatus Woesearchaeota.